UUUGCUGCGAUUUGGGGUUAUUUAUAUUUGACUGAAAUCGUUUCUUUAAGAUGGACCUCUUCUUCAUUUUACUAAAACUGUUUUAAUUAAGUAGCAUUUUGCAUCCAUUAGCCUUCAAUUAUGCUGAUGUUAUCAGCAAUUUUGUGGGUUACAAAUAGACUCAACCCUCCAGUCAUAUGACCUUUGAAUCGAGUUUAAAGCUGUUGUUAUCAGUUAAUGUGUAAGAAGAAUUGACUGUGCAUUUUAAGCAUAUGUAUCGAGAAGCCAAUCAAGUUGCAGAUUUUAUGGCGAAGUCAUGCACCAGCAGGUCAUAUGCUGUUAAGGUUUUUGAAGACCUAUUCCCUGAAGUUAAAAAAUUAUGCUUGAGUGAUAAGAGAGGUACCAAUUUUAAGGUCUGGUAGAACUUACGGCCCCGUUGCCUUCUUUUAAUUAUAAAAAAAAUAAAAAUCUAAAUUUGAAGCUGUAAACUGAAUUUGUCAAUUGCUAUCGUCAUUUUAUCAUGUUUGGGAAAAAAUUGAAGCAAACUAAACUCGGUUUGGUCAGUAACGGACCGAAACUAAUUUGGGUUGGUUUUAUCGGUUCUCCAACAAAGUCGGUUCGGUUUGGUUCCUUAAAAAGGGGAAGUCGGUUAAGUCAGUUUUUUUUUUUCUGCACUGACCCGACUGAUUUCUCACCCAUGGAAAGUGAUAAUCUUGCAUACAUGGAACUUGCAAUUCACCAGGCAAAACUUGCUUCGGAAAGCCUUGAAGUGCCUGUUGGUUGCGUAAUCAUCAAGGAUGGGGAGCUUAUAGCCUUGGGUAGAAAUCGAACCACUGAGACACGAAAUGCAACAAGGCAUGCAGAAAUGGAAGCCAUAGAUAAUCUUCGAGAGAUGUGGCAGAGAGACGGACUUUCAAAAGCAGAAGUGGCUAAAAACUUUUCACAAUGUAUUUUGUAUGUUACAUGUGAACCAUGCAUAAUGUGUGCUGCAGCUUUGUCAUUUCUUGGCAUAAAGGAAGUAUAUUAUGGUUGUGCAAAUGAGAAAUUUGGAGGGUGCGGAUCAAUUUUAUCCUUGCAUUCAAGUUACUCAGAGCCUUUCAUCAGUGAUAAAGUUCCACAAAGAGGUUUCAAAUGUACAGGGGGAUUAAUGUCCUCAGAAGCAAUCUCUCUUUUCCGAAGUUUCUAUGAACAGGGGAAUCCUAAUGAGGUCUCGUAACAUAGCAAGCUCCAAAGCCUCAUAGGCCUCUCGUUCAAAAGAAAGUUGAGUGAUAAAUAUAGGGUUUUGGUGCUGUAAGGUGAUUUAGGGCUGAUCAAAUGUUGGCGAUAGAACUGCGAAGAGAAAAGCAAAUAACAAGUCAAGAAAAAGCUGGUUGGAGUUUGACAAUGGUAAUGGCAUGUUGUUCUAGCGUGCUGUCGCAUGUCAGUGUCGGAUUUGUCAAAGCCACAUUAUAAGUCAUAUUUAACUGUGUUAGUAUUAGGUAGAUCAACAGUUUGAUGGUUUGAUAGGAUAGGUAGCUUGAACAUUCUUAAAGAACAAGUAUCAUAUUGAUAAAUUCGUUAAUCUUCAGGGGCUACUUAUAAAAAUUUUGUCAACUAUUUUAUAACAAAUAUGGGCUUGAAGGGUUUCUAUUAAGUUUUUCUUCGGCGAGGUAUUUUACUUGUGUAUAUGUACAUAUAAUUCCAAUAUAUAUUACAUGACAUAAUUUAAGGUUAUUAAA
RNA transcript from Gossypium arboreum, 1697 nucleotides. It is a transcript of the gene named tRNA-specific adenosine deaminase TAD2, with no coding region annotated. The record is from RefSeq and is a predicted model, not a curated record. NCBI's taxonomy places the organism in Eukaryota, Viridiplantae, Streptophyta, Magnoliopsida, Malvales, Malvaceae. The transcript is spliced from 10 exons.